Molecule: ribosomal RNA, 2922 nt
Filed under: Klebsiella pneumoniae subsp. pneumoniae
Lineage: Bacteria; Pseudomonadati; Pseudomonadota; Gammaproteobacteria; Enterobacterales; Enterobacteriaceae
Description: bacterial LSU rRNA
Rfam family: Bacterial large subunit ribosomal RNA
Source: RNAcentral
GGGUUGUGAGGUUAAGCGACUAAGCGUACACGGUGGAUGCCCUGGCAGUCAGAGGCGAUGAAGGACGUGCUAAUCUGCGAAAAGCGUCGGUAAGGUGAUAUGAACCGUUAUAACCGGCGAUGUCCGAAUGGGGAAACCCAGUGUGAUUCGUCACACUAUCGUUAACUGAAUACAUAGGUUAACGAGGCGAACCGGGGAACUGAAACAUCUAAGUACCCCGAGGAAAAGAAAUCAACCGAGAUUCCCCCAGUAGCGGCGAGCGAACGGGGAGCAGCCCAGAGUCUGAAUCAGCUUGUGUGUUAGUGGAACGGUCUGGAAAGUCCGACGGUACAGGGUGAUAGUCCCGUACACCAAAAUGCACAGGUUGUGAACUCGAAGAGUAGGGCGGGACACGUGGUAUCCUGUCUGAAUAUGGGGGGACCAUCCUCCAAGGCUAAAUACUCCUGACUGACCGAUAGUGAACCAGUACCGUGAGGGAAAGGCGAAAAGAACCCCGGCGAGGGGAGUGAAAAAGAACCUGAAACCGUGUACGUACAAGCAGUGGGAGCACCUUCGGGUGUGACUGCGUACCUUUUGUAUAAUGGGUCAGCGACUUAUAUUCUGUAGCAAGGUUAACCGUAUAGGGGAGCCGCAGGGAAACCGAGUCUUAACUGGGCGUUAAGUUGCAGGGUAUAGACCCGAAACCCGGUGAUCUAGCCAUGGGCAGGUUGAAGGUUGGGUAACACUAACUGGAGGACCGAACCGACUAAUGUUGAAAAAUUAGCGGAUGACUUGUGGCUGGGGGUGAAAGGCCAAUCAAACCGGGAGAUAGCUGGUUCUCCCCGAAAGCUAUUUAGGUAGCGCCUCGUGAACUCAUCUUCGGGGGUAGAGCACUGUUUCGGCUAGGGGGUCAUCCCGACUUACCAACCCGAUGCAAACUACGAAUACCGAAGAAUGUUAUCACGGGAGACACACGGCGGGUGCUAACGUCCGUCGUGAAGAGGGAAACAACCCAGACCGCCAGCUAAGGUCCCAAAGUCAUGGUUAAGUGGGAAACGAUGUGGGAAGGCACAGACAGCCAGGAUGUUGGCUUAGAAGCAGCCAUCAUUUAAAGAAAGCGUAAUAGCUCACUGGUCGAGUCGGCCUGCGCGGAAGAUGUAACGGGGCUAAACCAUGCACCGAAGCUGCGGCAGCGACACUAUGUGUUGUUGGGUAGGGGAGCGUUCUGUAAGCCUGCGAAGGUGUGCUGUGAGGCAUGCUGGAGGUAUCAGAAGUGCGAAUGCUGACAUAAGUAACGAUAAAGCGGGUGAAAAGCCCGCUCGCCGGAAGACCAAGGGUUCCUGUCCAACGUUAAUCGGGGCAGGGUGAGUCGACCCCUAAGGCGAGGCCGAAAGGCGUAGUCGAUGGGAAACAGGUUAAUAUUCCUGUACUUGGUGUUACUGCGAAGGGGGGACGGAGAAGGCUAUGUUAGCCGGGCGACGGUUGUCCCGGUUUAAGCAUGUAGGCUGAUUGUCCAGGCAAAUCCGGAUAAUCAAGGCUGAGGUGUGAUGACGAGGCACUACGGUGCUGAAGUAACAAAUGCCCUGCUUCCAGGAAAAGCCUCUAAGCAUCAGGUAACAUUAAAUCGUACCCCAAACCGACACAGGUGGUCAGGUAGAGAAUACCAAGGCGCUUGAGAGAACUCGGGUGAAGGAACUAGGCAAAAUGGUGCCGUAACUUCGGGAGAAGGCACGCUGGUGUGUAGGUGAAGUCCCUGCGGAUGGAGCUGAGACCAGUCGAAGAUACCAGCUGGCUGCAACUGUUUAUUAAAAACACAGCACUGUGCAAACACGAAAGUGGACGUAUACGGUGUGACGCCUGCCCGGUGCCGGAAGGUUAAUUGAUGGGGUUAUCCGUAAGGAGAAGCUCUUGAUCGAAGCCCCGGUAAACGGCGGCCGUAACUAUAACGGUCCUAAGGUAGCGAAAUUCCUUGUCGGGUAAGUUCCGACCUGCACGAAUGGCGUAAUGAUGGCCAGGCUGUCUCCACCCGAGACUCAGUGAAAUUGAACUCGCUGUGAAGAUGCAGUGUACCCGCGGCAAGACGGAAAGACCCCGUGAACCUUUACUAUAGCUUGACACUGAACAUUGAGCCUUGAUGUGUAGGAUAGGUGGGAGGCUUUGAAGCGUGGACGCCAGUCUGCGUGGAGCCAACCUUGAAAUACCACCCUUUAAUGUUUGAUGUUCUAACGUUGGCCCCUGACCGGGGUUGCGGACAGUGUCUGGUGGGUAGUUUGACUGGGGCGGUCUCCUCCCAAAGCGUAACGGAGGAGCACGAAGGUUAGCUAAUCCUGGUCGGACAUCAGGAGGUUAGUGCAAUGGCAUAAGCUAGCUUGACUGCGAGCGUGACGGCGCGAGCAGGUGCGAAAGCAGGUCAUAGUGAUCCGGUGGUUCUGAAUGGAAGGGCCAUCGCUCAACGGAUAAAAGGUACUCCGGGGAUAACAGGCUGAUACCGCCCAAGAGUUCAUAUCGACGGCGGUGUUUGGCACCUCGAUGUCGGCUCAUCACAUCCUGGGGCUGAAGUAGGUCCCAAGGGUAUGGCUGUUCGCCAUUUAAAGUGGUACGCGAGCUGGGUUUAGAACGUCGUGAGACAGUUCGGUCCCUAUCUGCCGUGGGCGCUGGAGAAUUGAGGGGGGCUGCUCCUAGUACGAGAGGACCGGAGUGGACGCAUCACUGGUGUUCGGGUUGUCAUGCCAAUGGCACUGCCCGGUAGCUAAAUGCGGAAGAGAUAAGUGCUGAAAGCAUCUAAGCACGAAACUUGCCCCGAGAUGAGUUCUCCCUGAGACUAUAAGUCUCCUGAAGGAACGUUAAAGACGAUGACGUUGAUAGGCCGGGUGUGUAAGCGCAGCGAUGCGUUGAGCUAACCGGUACUAAUGAACCGUGAGGCUUAACCUUACAACGCCGAAG